This 30-nucleotide non-coding RNA is filed under the name Rattus norvegicus (Norway rat). The record is from RNAcentral. Lineage: Eukaryota; Metazoa; Chordata; Mammalia; Rodentia; Muridae.
UACUUCCUGUUCUCACCCUGUACAACUCCC